This 107-nucleotide small nuclear RNA is filed under the name Tupaia belangeri (northern tree shrew). The record is from RNAcentral. Lineage: Eukaryota; Metazoa; Chordata; Mammalia; Scandentia; Tupaiidae.
GUGUUUACUUUGGCAGCACAUAUACUAAAAUCGGAACGAUACAGAGAAGAUUAGCGUGGCCCUUGCGCAAGGAUGACAUGCAAAUUCGUGAAGCAUUCCAUAUUUUU